CACACCUCCCCUGGCUAUGAUUGACAGAGUCUGCAUGAAAAGAAAACUGGUUUCACUUUCAAACAGAUGUAAUUUACCUUAAAUAAUUGUAUCUCAAUCUCUAAAUUGAACUUUAAUCACAUACAGGAGGCUCUUGCAGGGUCUAGCAAGCUAUUAACAUAGCAGUGGAUAAGAAAAUCUUAAUGAAACAGAACUUGCAAUAAAGAAAGCCUAAAUAGGGCUCUCUUUACAGGAAGUGUUUAUGGAAGGCUGUGCAGGUCACAUGCAGGGAGGUGUGACUAGGGUUCAUAAACAAAGGGAUUUAACUCCUAAAUGGCAGAGGAUUGAGCAGUGAGGCUGCAGGGGCAUGUUCUAUACACCAAAACUGC
This is a non-coding RNA of Pelobates cultripes (western spadefoot toad), 368 nucleotides long. The record is from the annotation of a GenBank genome assembly. Lineage: Eukaryota; Metazoa; Chordata; Amphibia; Anura; Pelobatidae.